AUGCUCAUUUUCCACUGGCUGAUCAUGGGCAAACCCUCAAUCACAUCCAAACCCUGCUGUGCUACCACGAAUGCUGGAAAGAGACUGCUCAAGGAUACUCUUGGAAUGCAAAGACAAAUUCCAGGUAAACUGAGGCACGGCGCUGCUGAAGCCUUAAGCUCCAUUUCCCUCUGGCUGCAGGGGAGCUGUGCAUGUUCAGCACCUCUGGAAGUCAGAGCAGCAAGGACAGGCACAGACCAACCCCAGAACUGCGGCACCAACCAGAGGAACACCAGAAAUCAAUCCCAUCCCACAGGCUAUGCCAGGCUCGUGUCUAUCUGUUGGAAGGCUCCCAGGAUCAGAGCGAUUCCCCACUGUUUAGCAACCCCUGCCUCUGUGUCAGCCCCAUUAGCAGCAGCACUGCUAUCGAUUCUCCUGGUCACAGUGAGGUGGACGUGA
Molecule: long non-coding RNA, 438 nt
Filed under: Anas platyrhynchos platyrhynchos (common mallard)
Lineage: Eukaryota; Metazoa; Chordata; Aves; Anseriformes; Anatidae
Description: lncRNA (ENSAPLG00000020032.1)
Source: RNAcentral